GGGGGCGAUGAGCCUGGUGGCUCACCCUGGCUGUAAACCAGGUGCCUUGCGCAGGGCAGGUUCGAUCCCUGCCGCCCCCA
This 80-nucleotide transfer RNA is filed under the name Nocardia uniformis. RNAcentral's name for it is "tRNA-Tyr". It matches the Rfam family "Selenocysteine transfer RNA". Lineage: Bacteria; Bacillati; Actinomycetota; Actinomycetes; Mycobacteriales; Nocardiaceae. The record is from RNAcentral.